Hypanus sabinus (Atlantic stingray) is the source of this 3128-nucleotide long non-coding RNA. RefSeq lists it as uncharacterized. The record is from RefSeq and is a predicted model, not a curated record. The transcript is spliced from 2 exons. Lineage: Eukaryota; Metazoa; Chordata; Chondrichthyes; Myliobatiformes; Dasyatidae.
CACCGGGGUGUGUGUGUGUGGGGGGGGGGGGGCGCGCCGCGCCUCCGGCUUCGCUCCCACUCAGGAAAUAGCUCCGCCGGCCGGGCGCCUCUAACCGCACCGGCUCGGCCGGUGUAAGCGGGCGCUGCGCGCAGCUGCGGCCCGCACGCUAUUGGUCGUUUACUGCGGUCGAACUCAUUGCGGUGGAAGCCUCCGAAGUUGUCCCGACCCGCGCGUGUAGACGGCAGAUGGCAUUCAGAUUAUCAAGGUAUCAGGAGCUCACCAAAGUCCAAAGUACACUCCUGCCUGACACCUGGAGCAGGAAUCUCUGGUUCCGACUUUGGCCUCAUCAGCUAGCUGCCGUCAGAGGAAAGUGCAGGAGUCUUGGGAUCAUGUUGCAAGGAUUGAUCGGCAAGGCUGUGGACUCAUUUUGGAGGUUCAUGUUGCAUGUGUUCCUGGAUUCUGUUUUUUUUAAUGCUUUUGAGCAGUUUGAUCAGGACUGAAGGGAAGAGUGGUUCUGCAGCUUGCAGUGGGCCAGUGGCUCAGCACUGAAGUGAACUAAACUUAGUACUACUGGAAGUACUAACUCACAGACCUCUGUUGAUACCCCUGCCCCCCCCCUUACCCCCAUCCCUAUCUAUUAUUUCAGUCUGGUUCUCUUUCUCUCUCUUUCCCCCCCCCCCCUCACUAUAAUCUCCUCCCAGCCCUACCUUUCUUUCUCUCUUAUUUCCCAUAAUUCUCCACCUUCCCCCAGCCCAUUCCCCUCCAGUCUAUCACUUCCCAGCUCUCUACUUUAUCCCUCCCCCCACUUCUUAUCCCCCCUCGACCAUCCCAUGUUACUUCACUCCUGAUUAAGGGUUUCGGCCCGAAACGUCGUCACUACCUCCUCCCAUAGAUGCUGUCUGGCCUGCUGAGUUCUGCCAGCAUUUUGUGUUUUUAUUUAGUACUACUGGACUUGUGGUUUGAGUUUUGAUAUUCUAGGUGUUGUUCGCUUGCUCUUUGCCCAUUGUGCAACUUGUUCUUUGCUUCGUGUGUUGGGUGUUUGAUGUUUUCUUGAUCGGGUUCCGAGGUGUUCCUAUGUUUUGUGGCUGCCUGCAGGGGAAUGAAUCUCAGAGUUGCAUUCUGUGUACGUGGAGGGUUAAACAACAUCGCAGAAUCAUUACUGUAUCUUUCUGGUGAUGUUGUGUCGUGAUGGAGCUCAGAGUAGAGAGUUCAGUGUUGAGCUUUGUGAGAUGAUUCAAAGGAAUUUUAUACAAAAGGUCAAGGAUUAAAAAGGUUAAGACAUCCUUCUCAAAGACAAGUUACCUGAAUGGAUCAAUGGGAGUCCUUAACCCCUAUGAGCCAAGGAAACAUGAGCCAAUAGAAUUCAAAGGUCAGCUGAAGAGGUAGCCAAUCAAGACCGAGGCAAGUGAACAGGGGCCUUUAUAAACACAAGCACUACCAAAGAGAAACACCAAUGACUGAACACCACUGAGGAUGUCAUCUUGGCUGGUGAUGAAACAUCUGUAAGUUAAUUGCCAAGUUCGUCGAACACCGCAGCAUCAAAGAAUUUUAAGAGGAACGUGAGGGGCAACUUUUUCAUACUGAUUGUGGUAAAUAUAUGGAACAAGCUACCAGAGGAAGUGGUUGAGACAGGUACAAAACAACAGUUAACAAAGAUUUGGGCAGGUACAUUGUUAGGAAGAGAGGGAUAGGGACCAAAUGUAGGUAAAUAGGACCAGCUUAAGAGGCCAUCUUGGUUGCCUUGCAACAGUUAGGCUGAAGGGCCUAUUCCUAUGCCAUAUGAUUCCACUUCCUUGACAAUAUGCCAAGAUUUUGCAUUCUGGGAGAAGUAAAAGUCACUUGUUGAAUGAAAUCUUUGACAAGUUCAGAAUCUCAGUACAACCACAGGGAAAAACUACGCCUGGAUUAAUUUCAGACAUAUAUUCCAAAAUCUUUUUUUAAGUGUAUUUUCACAAUAUAGACACUGCUUUUAAAAUUGGCAUUAUUUACUCAGAAGGUGUUCUCAACAGGCGUGAGAAGAUGUUAUCUAAAACUUCGACAAACUUCUAUAGUUUUACAUUGGAGAGUGUCCUGACUGGUUGCAUUACAGCCUGGUAUGGAAACAGCAAUGCCCAAGAAAGGAAAACCCUACAAAAAGUGGUGGAUUCAGCCCAGUCCAUCACAGUAAAAGGUCUCCCCACUGUUGAGCACAUCUACAGGGAACACUGCCAUAAGACAGCAGCAUCCACCAUCAGGGACCCCUACCAUCCAGGCCAUGCCCUCUUCUCAUUGUUGAUGUCAGAAAGGAGGUACAGGAGCCUUAGGUCCCACACCACCACAUUCAUGAACAGUUAUUAUCCUUCAGCCAUUAGGCUCCUGAAACAAUGUGGAUAACUUCACUCUCCUCAACAUUGAACACAAUGUAUAGACUCACUUUUGAGGGUUCUACAAUUCAUGUUCUCAGUAUUAUUAAUUUAUUUAUUGAUUGAUUGAUUAUUAAUAUUAUCAUUUGUUUAUAUUUCCACAGAUUGUCUUCUUUUACACCUUGGUUGCUUAUCAGUCUUUGUGUGCAGUUUUUUCAUUGAUUCUAUUGAGUUUCUUUGUUCUUCACUGAAUGCCUACGUUGGAGAGGGUUAAAAGGAGGUCAACGAAAAUGAUUUCUGGAUGGAAAGGCUUGUCAUAUGAGGAAUGUUUGAGGGCUCUGGGCUUCUACUCACUGGAAUUCAGAAGAAUGACGGGUGACUUCACUGAAACCUAGUGAAUGUUGAAAGGCCUUGAUAGGGUUGAUGUGGAGAGGAUGUUUCCUGUGGUGGGGGAGUCGGACACCAGAGGACAUACACUCAGAAUAGAGGGACAUUUUUCUAGGGGUAUCCCCGCUCAUAUGGUUCCCUUGUUCCUGGUAGCAGAAGUCACACGAUUGGGAGGUGCUAUUGAAAACUAAUGAGUACAAGCUACUCUUUUUGCCAAUUUUCACAAUACAAUGCCAAAUAGCUAUUGUACGAAUGAUUGAGAGUGUACUGUACGGUAAGUACAGUACCUAUGUACACUAUUAAAACUUUAGACUUCGAACAGAUCCACAUUGAAUAGAAGUCAAGGAAGUGUGAAUGAGCCUACUUUGAAACAAUUGUUUUCAUCCGCUGAAGGUUAAUAAAAAUAUUAAAAUACUA